UGAGGGCUGUAGAGUUAGUGGAUAAGGGGUCCCCGCAGAAACGGAGGACGGUGUUUUGGGUCCCUGAAUCCAAUGGGGGAGCAACCAGUGAGGAGUGGAGAACCAAACCCUGUCCUGCCUCCUGUCAGCGGGAUGCCUUUGGGUAAGACCCGGGAGACGCUGUUCCGUGUCAUGUACGAAGCGGCAUCCUAAUCAAUAAUGUUUCCCAGCACCAUUGCAAACAUCGGACUGCAAAACGCAGACCUGGCUGUCGGCACAGGACUGGCCGCUUUGAAGGAAAAAGCUUCCAUGAAUCUUACGGCUACAGAAAAGUGAGUUCUGUGAACAACCCGAGGACCUUGAAAGUGGAUCCUUCCCCAGUCAAGCCUCUGAUGAGCCCAGCCAACAUCUUGACCGUAGCAUUGGGAAACACUAAACAGAGGCUCCAACGAAGCUAUGCCCAGACUCCUGACCCACAGAAACUGUAAGAUAAUAAACAUAUGAUGUUU
Molecule: long non-coding RNA, 488 nt
Filed under: Mustela putorius furo (domestic ferret)
Lineage: Eukaryota; Metazoa; Chordata; Mammalia; Carnivora; Mustelidae
Description: lncRNA (ENSMPUG00000031733.1)
Source: RNAcentral